CAGCAGCCGCGGUAAUACAGAGGGUGCGAGCGUUAUCCGGAUUUAUUGGGUUUAAAGGGUCCGUAGGCGGAUCUGUAAGUCAGUGGUGAAAUCUUACAGCUUAACUGUGAAACUGCCAUUGAUACUGCAGGUCUUGAGUAAAUUUGAAGUGGCUGGAAUAAGUAGUGUAGCGGUGAAAUGCAUAGAUAUUACUUAGAACACCAAUUGCGAAGGCAGGUCACUAAGAUUUAACUGACGCUGAUGGACGAAAGCGUGGGGAGCGAACAGGAUUAGAUACCCCUGUAGUCCCUGUCUCUUAUAA
RNAcentral lists this ribosomal RNA (301 nucleotides) under uncultured bacterium. RNAcentral's name for it is "partial 16S ribosomal RNA". It matches the Rfam family "Bacterial small subunit ribosomal RNA", at positions 509 to 809 of the family's 1533-position model. The record is from RNAcentral.